UACGUAGGGGGCAAGCGUUGUCCGGAAUUAUUGGGCGUAAAGAGCGCGUAGGCGGUCCGGUAAGUCCGCUCUGAAAGUCCGGGGCUCAACCCCGGGAGGCGGGCGGAUACUGUCGGGCUAGAGUCCGGAAGAGGCGAGUGGAAUUCCUGGUGUAGCGGUGAAAUGCGCAGAUAUCAGGAGGAACACCAAUGGCGAAGGCAGCUCGCUGGGACGGUACUGACGCUGAGGCGCGAAGGCGUGGGGAGCAAACAGG
Molecule: ribosomal RNA, 253 nt
Filed under: uncultured bacterium
Lineage: Bacteria
Description: partial 16S ribosomal RNA
Rfam family: Bacterial small subunit ribosomal RNA
Source: RNAcentral